GAUCAUCAUAAAAGGUGGUAGUUGGUCUUGAUAAAAAGGCCUUCUAUCUACUUGAUCUGUGCAAUGUGGACUACAUUCGUAGUUCUGAACUUGGAGAUUAAAAAUCCAGUAGGUCUUUUAAGGCUGAAAUGGUGGCUCCAGAGGUACUUUUGGUACCAAAAAUUUAUAUAUACUAUUGUCAGAUUUGAUAUACAGUGUCUGUUAGGACUUUUUGGCCUUCAUUCACUAUAAACUGUAGGAUGGCUCUGUAGUGGGGUUCUGAAUACAAAAAACAACUUUUAGCAAUGGAUCUCUUGGUUUCCGCAUCGAUGAAGAGCGUAGCAAAUUGCGAUAAUUAGUGCGAAUUGCAGACCUUGCGAAUCAUCGAGUUCUUGAACGCAUCUUGCACCUAGUAGUUUAUUCUUCUAGGUACGGUUGCUUCAGUAUUACGAAACUCAACAAGACCCAACUUUUGUGGUUUGGGACUUGGAGCUGGACUUGCUAGGGCCUCUUUGAGGGUCUUGGUAGUCUUAAAUGGAGUAUGCCAAAAGUCUUUUUGACCUUGUUUCAAAGAGAUUGGACUAUAAAAGUGGACCAAGGUCUGGUAUGAUUUACCUUGGUUGUCCGAUCUUUGGAGGUUAAUGUGAUUGGGAUUUUGGUUAGAGGUUUAGCCUCUAAAAAGAUCUACCAAAACUGUAAUC
Molecule: unclassified non-coding RNA, 680 nt
Filed under: Fennellomyces linderi
Lineage: Eukaryota; Fungi; Mucoromycota; Mucoromycetes; Mucorales; Lichtheimiaceae
Description: sequence contains 18S rRNA gene, ITS1, 5.8S rRNA gene, ITS2, 28S rRNA gene
Rfam family: 5.8S ribosomal RNA (bases 274-428)
Source: RNAcentral